AUGCUUACCUGGCAGGGGAGAUACCAUGAUUAUGAAGGUGGUUUUCCCAGGGCGAGGCUCACCCAUUGCACUCCAGAUGUGCUGACCCCUGCAAUUUCCCCAAAUGUGGGAAACUCGACUGCAUAAUUUGUGGUAGUGGGGGACUGUGUUCAUGCUGAU
This 159-nucleotide small nuclear RNA is filed under the name Echinops telfairi (small Madagascar hedgehog). Its description in RNAcentral is "U1 spliceosomal RNA (ENSETEG00000020696.1)". It matches the Rfam family "U1 spliceosomal RNA". Rfam says of the family: U1 is a small nuclear RNA (snRNA) component of the spliceosome (involved in pre-mRNA splicing). Its 5' end forms complementary base pairs with the 5' splice junction, thus defining the 5' donor site of an intron. The record is from RNAcentral. Lineage: Eukaryota; Metazoa; Chordata; Mammalia; Afrosoricida; Tenrecidae.